GUGAGCACCAAGCCUGCCGCCCACAGGCCCGGUGCUUCCAGCCUUAACUACCUGUCAUCCCCCCACCCCUCCACCCCCAGGGGCCGCGGUGCACCGAGUCCCCCCACCGGCCCUGCUCCUGCUGGCCCUGGCUGCAGGCCUCCUCCCGCGAGUUCUCUGAAGGUGGCUGCUUCAGGCCACGCCCUGCCCAGGAAAAGCUACAGAAUCCAACCCAAGAAACCAGGAAAUCAGCUAACCCUGCAGGAGAGCGCGAGAUGCGAUGCGAGAGGCAAGGUGAGAAUUCACACGCACAACCCUCCGAUGUGCGAUUCUAACCCAAAGAGAAAUUUCUAGAAUCAGGAUGAUUGUUAACGCCAAGUCUUCCCACCUGCCGGAGCCCUCAGUACCUG
RNAcentral lists this long non-coding RNA (389 nucleotides) under Rattus norvegicus (Norway rat). RNAcentral describes it as "long non-coding RNA NONRATT007088". The record is from RNAcentral. Lineage: Eukaryota; Metazoa; Chordata; Mammalia; Rodentia; Muridae.